UGAUGGCAGCAGGGAAGAAGGCCUGGCUAGAUAACAGGUCAAGCCUGAUGGCAGCAGGGAAGAAGAAGGCCUGGCUAGAUAACAGGUCAAGCCUGAUGGCAGCAGGGAAGAAGAAGGCCUGGCUAGAUAACAGGUCAAGCCUGAAGGCAGCAGGGAAGAAGAAGGCCUGGCUAGAUAACAGGUCAAGCCUGAUGGCAGCAGGGAAGAAGGCCUGGCUAGAUAACAGGUCAAGCCCGAAGGCAGCAGGGAAGAAGACCUGGCUAGAUAACAGGUCAAGCCUGAAGGCAGCAGGGAAGAAGAAGGCCUGGCUAGAUAACAGGUCAAGCCAGAUGGCAGCAGGGAAGAAGGCCUGGCUAGAUAACAGGUCAAGCCUGAUGGCAGCAGGGAAGAAGGCCUGGCUAGAUAACAGGUCAAGCCUGAUGGCAGCAGGGAAGAAGGCCUGGCUAGAUAACAGGUCAAGCCUGAUGGCAGCAGGGAAGAAGAAGGCCUGGCUAGAUAACAGGUCAAGCCUGAAGGCAGCAGGGAAGAAGAAGGCCUGGCUAGAUAACAGGUCAAGCCUGAUGGCAGCAGGGAAGAAGAAGGCCUGGCUAGAUAACAGGUCAAGCCUGAUGGCAGCAGGGAAGAAGAAGGCCUGGCUAGAUAACAGGUCAAGCCUGAUGGCAGCAGGGAAGAAGAAGGCCUGGCUAGAUAACAGGUC
RNAcentral lists this long non-coding RNA (697 nucleotides) under Salmo salar (Atlantic salmon). Its description in RNAcentral is "lncRNA (ENSSSAG00000098307.1)". The record is from RNAcentral. Lineage: Eukaryota; Metazoa; Chordata; Actinopteri; Salmoniformes; Salmonidae.